Molecule: long non-coding RNA, 193 nt
Organism: Cucurbita maxima (winter squash)
Lineage: Eukaryota; Viridiplantae; Streptophyta; Magnoliopsida; Cucurbitales; Cucurbitaceae
Exons: 3
Source: RefSeq, a predicted model, not a curated record
CUAUCACUUCUGCACCAGGAGAUGACUAUUUAAGUCUCCAUAUACUUAAUCAAGGAGAUUGGACAUCCGAGCUCAUGAACAUAUUUGAAAAGGCAUGUAGCGCUGAAGAUAAAAUGAAAAGAGGUGGAAUAGUUAGACAAGAAACAACAAACGACUUGGGAUCAAGGUGAGUGAAAACUAUCCUCAUAGUUUU